ACUCCUACGGGAGGCAGCAGUGGGGAAUAUUGCACAAUGGGCGAAAGCCUGAUGCAGCAACGCCGCGUGAGGGAUGACGGCCUUCGGGUUGUAAACCUCUUUUAGUAGGGAAGAAGCGCAAGUGACGGUACCUACAGAAAAAGCACCGGCUAACUACGUGCCAGCAGCCGCGGUAAU
Molecule: ribosomal RNA, 177 nt
Filed under: uncultured bacterium
Lineage: Bacteria
Description: partial 16S ribosomal RNA
Rfam family: Bacterial small subunit ribosomal RNA
Source: RNAcentral